Molecule: ribosomal RNA, 465 nt
Filed under: uncultured bacterium
Lineage: Bacteria
Description: partial 16S ribosomal RNA
Rfam family: Bacterial small subunit ribosomal RNA
Source: RNAcentral
GAUGAACGCUGGCGGCGUGCCUAACACAUGCAAGUCGAACGGAAAGGCUCCUGCUUGUGGGGGCACUCGAGUGGCGGACGGGUAAGUAACCCGCGGGUGACCUGCCCUGGAGUUUGGGAUAAGGCUAGGAAACUGGGUACCAUACAGGAUAGGACCACAUAAUGGAUGGUGUGGAGGACAGUUCUUCGGUGUGGGUUGGGCUGGCGGCCUAUCGGUUUGGUGGUGGGGAAAUGGCCUAACAAGGCGUCGACGGGUAGCCGGCCGGGGAGGGGGGACGGCGCCAUUGGGACUAAGAGACGGCCCAGUCUGCUACUGUAGGCAGCAGUGGGGAAUAUUGCACAAUGGGGGCAAGCCUGAUGCAACGGCGCCGCGUGGGUGAUGACGGCCUUCGCGUUGUAAACUGCUUUCGCUAAAUACGAAGCGCAAGUGACGGUACCUGAAGAAGAAGCACCGGCUAACUACGUG